GUCGUCGGUGGCGGGGCGGUCGGCGGUGAGGGUCAUCGGGCUACCUGCCUGGUCCUUGGGCUGGGGUUCGGUUCCGGUCCGGGCGUCGGCGC
RNAcentral lists this transfer RNA (92 nucleotides) under Kitasatospora griseola. RNAcentral describes it as "tRNA-Pro". Lineage: Bacteria; Bacillati; Actinomycetota; Actinomycetes; Kitasatosporales; Streptomycetaceae. The record is from RNAcentral.